UGCGCAGCUAUGUGUGUCCUUGAUUCA
Molecule: non-coding RNA, 27 nt
Filed under: Homo sapiens (human)
Lineage: Eukaryota; Metazoa; Chordata; Mammalia; Primates; Hominidae
Source: RNAcentral